AAUACGUUCCCGGGCCUUGUACACACCGCCCGUCACACCACGAAAGUUGAUUUCACCAGAAGUCGCUCAGGCGCCCAAGGUGAGGUCGAUGAUUGGGGUG
RNAcentral lists this ribosomal RNA (100 nucleotides) under uncultured bacterium. RNAcentral's name for it is "partial 16S ribosomal RNA". It matches the Rfam family "Bacterial small subunit ribosomal RNA", at positions 1365 to 1482 of the family's 1533-position model. The record is from RNAcentral.